Long non-coding RNA from Austrofundulus limnaeus, 368 nucleotides. RefSeq lists it as uncharacterized. The transcript is spliced from 3 exons. The record is from RefSeq and is a predicted model, not a curated record. Lineage: Eukaryota; Metazoa; Chordata; Actinopteri; Cyprinodontiformes; Rivulidae.
CGUGGUUUAAAAUCUUCAGCAGGGUGGCGCGGAAACUUGUCCCACCACUAUCGCGCAGCUAAACCCGGAUUUUUAAAAGUUUUGUUUACAUUUGCGACCAUUGUUCUGCGGUAAAAUGAGUGUGUUGGAGGUGAAGUUCAUCGGGGACGGAGAUGUUUUGGAUCACAUCGUGGACAAACAGGAGGGUGUGCAGAGCAGCGCUGGCUCUGUGCAGAAGAUGGUGAAGUUUAAGAGGCCGGCAGGACUGCAGGGCUGCAGAGAGGACGCAGAACUGAAUCCUGACGAAAGCGGUGUCUUUGAUGAGCAAAAUUAUAUCCAAGCUUUGGGAGCAGAAAGCACUGAAGGUAUCCCACAUGUCUGCUCUAUCA